Eptesicus fuscus (big brown bat) is the source of this 4226-nucleotide RNA transcript. It is a transcript of the gene named meiosis regulator for oocyte development, with no coding region annotated. The record is from RefSeq and is a predicted model, not a curated record. Lineage: Eukaryota; Metazoa; Chordata; Mammalia; Chiroptera; Vespertilionidae. The transcript has 14 exons.
CGCCCACGGGCACUCCCGGGCUCGUGAAGGGGCGGAGCUCGUGGGCCAGGAACUCCCCUUCCGAACCCGAGGCGUGGCCGCGCGUCGCGGAGGCGCGGCUGUGGGGUCGUGGGUCCCGGUCGGGUGGGCCCACGUUACGGGCCGCGCCGCCAUCUUGCCCGUGUCGGGGGUGACUCCCGCGGCGGGAGCGCGGCCACCAGGCUGGAGGCGGCUGUGCGGCGCCCGCGCGGCCUCCUAAGUCGAAAACUAUGAUUCACACUAUAUUUCUGUUGGACAAUACUGCUGUCGAUCUUCUGCUGAGGAACACAGAAGCAACAUGGCUUUCCUUCGCUCAGACACCACUGAUGGGAAGUGAGCACUUGACUUGUUAAACUGGAAGAUUGGACAUAACUUCAGCACUAGAAUGCAGUCUGCUUGGGCUGCCAUAACAAAAUACCAUAGACUGAAUGGCUUAAACAACAGAAAUAACUUUUUCACAGUUUUGGAGACUGGAGUCUGAGAUCAGGUUGCCAGUGUGGUCCAGUUCUGAUAUUCAGUGAAUGGACCUGACUGGACACUUUGAGCACAUCAAUAAACAUGAGUGGUACCAAACCUGAUAUAUUGUGGGCACCACACCAGGUUGAUAGAUUUGUUGUAUGUGACUCAGAACUGAGCCUUUAUCAUGUGGAAUCUACUGUGAAUUCGGAACUCAAAGCUGGAUCUUUACGUUUAUCUGAAGACUCUGCGGCUACUUUGCUAUCAAUAAAUUCAGAUACACCCUAUAUGAAAUGUGUUGCUUGGUAUCUCAAUUAUGAUCCUGAAUGUCUCCUAGCCGUUGGACAAGCAAAUGGUCGAGUAGUACUCACAAGUCUUGGUCAAGAUCACAACUCAAAGUUCAGAGAUUUGAUAGGAAAAGAAUUUGUUCCAAAACAUGCACGACAAUGCAAUACUCUUGCAUGGAAUCCAUUGGAUAGUAACUGGCUUGCUGCUGGUCUAGAUAAGCAUAGAGCUGAUUUUUCAGUGCUGAUUUGGGAUAUCUGCAGCAAAUAUACUCCUGAUAUAGUCCCCAUGGAGAAAGUGAGACUUUCAGCAGGUGAAACUGAAACAACAUUAUUAGUAACAAAACCACUUUAUGAAUUAGGACAGAAUGAUGCUUGUCUCUCUCUUUGUUGGCUUCCACGGGACCAGAAACUUCUCCUUGCUGGUAUGCACCGUAACCUAGCCAUAUUUGAUCUUCGGAAUACAAGCCAAAAGAUGUUUGUAAAUACAAAAGCUGUUCAGGGGGUGACAGUAGACCCAUACUUCCAUGAUCGUGUUGCUUCCUUCUAUGAAGGUCAGGUUGCAAUAUGGGAUCUUAGGAAAUUUGAGAAGCCAGUUUUGACUUUGACUGAGCAACCAAAACCCUUAACAAAAGUUGCAUGGUGUCCAACUAGGACUGGUCUGCUUGCCACUUUAACAAGGGAUAGUAAUAUUAUUAGAUUAUAUGAUAUGCAACAUACACCCACUCCCAUUGGGGAUGAAACUGAACCCACAAUAAUUGAAAGAAGUGUGCAACCUUGUGACAAUUACAUUGCUUCCUUUGCUUGGCAUCCAACAAGUCAAAAUCGAAUGAUAGUUGUAACUCCCAACCGAACAAUGUCUGACUUCACUGUUUUUGAAAGGAUAUCUCUUGCCUGGAGCCCAAUUACAUCUUUAAUGUGGGCUUGUGGUCGUCAUUUGUAUGAAUGUACAGAAGAAGAAAAUGAUAAUUCUUUAGAAAAAGAUAUAGCAACAAAGAUGCGCCUUCGGGCUUUAUCAAGGUACGGACUUGAUACAGAACAAGUGUGGAGAAACCAUAUUUUAGCUGGAAAUGAAGAUCCACAGCUCAAGUCACUCUGGUAUACUCUGCACUUCAUGAAGCAGUAUACAGAAGAUAUGGACCAGAAAUCUCCAGGCAACAAAGGAUCAUUGGUUUAUGCAGGGAUUAAAUCAAUUGUAAAAUCAUCUUUGGGAAUGGUGGAAAACACCAGACAUAAUUGGAGUGGAUUGGAUAAGCAAACUGAUAUACAGAAUUUAAAUGAAGAAAGAAUCUUAGCUUUACAACUUUGUGGAUGGAUUAAGAAAGGAACAGAUGUAGAUGUAGGGCCAUUUUUGAACUCCCUGGUACAAGAAGGGGAAUGGGAGAGAGCUGCUGCUGUGGCACUGUUCAACUUGGAUAUUCGACGAGCAAUCCAAAUCCUGAAUGAAGGGGCAUCUUCAGAAAAAGGUGAUCUGAAUCUCAAUGUGGUAGCAAUGGCUUUAUCAGGUUAUACUGAUGAGAAGAACUCCCUUUGGAGAGAAAUGUGCAGCACUCUACGAUUACAAUUAAACAACCCAUAUCUGUGUGUCAUGUUUGCAUUUCUGACAAGUGAAGCAGGAUCCUAUGAUGGAGUAUUGUAUGAAAACAAAGUUGCUGUCCGUGACAGAGUGGCUUUUGCUUGUAAAUUCCUUAGUGAUAGUCAGUUAAAUAGAUACAUCGAAAAGUUGACCAAUGAAAUGAAAGAGGCUGGAAAUUUGGAAGGAAUUCUGCUUACAGGCCUUACUAAAGAUGGAGUGGACUUAAUGGAGAGUUAUGUCGAUAGGACUGGAGAUGUCCAAACAGCAAGUUACUGCAUGUUACAGGGUUCUCCUUUAGAUGUUCUUAAAGAUGAAAGAGUUCAGUACUGGAUUGAGAAUUAUAGAAAUUUAUUAGAUGCCUGGAGGUUUUGGCACAAACGAGCUGAAUUUGAUAUUCACCGGAGUAAGUUGGAUCCCAGUUCCAAGCCUUUAGCGCAGGUGUUUGUGAGUUGCAAUUUCUGUGGCAAGUCUAUCUCCUACAGUUGUUCAACUGUGCCUCAUCAGGGCAGAGGUUUUAGUCAGUAUGGGGUCAGUGGCUCGCCAACGAAAUCCAAAGUCACAAGUUGCCCUGGCUGUCGAAAACCCCUCCCUCGAUGUGCACUUUGUCUCAUUAAUAUGGGAACACCUGUAUCGAGCUGUCCUGGAGGAUCCAAAUCAGAUGAAAAAGUAGACUUAAGCAAGGACAAAAAAUUAGCUCAAUUUAACAACUGGUUUACAUGGUGUCACAAUUGCAGGCAUGGUGGGCAUGCUGGACAUAUGCUUAGUUGGUUCAGGGACCAUGCAGAGUGUCCUGUGUCUGCAUGCACGUGUAAAUGUAUGCAGUUGGAUACGACAGGGAAUCUGGUGCCUGCAGAGACUGUCCAGCCGUAAAUGUUACCACCUACAGAAGAACCUUCAAGUGUGGAGCUUUCUAAUAGAUGACCUUCAUAGCGCAAAAACAUACCUCAGAACAAGUCACUCAUGACUUUCCUAUAAUGGAAAAAUAAAUCAUUCUAUCAAAUCAGCAAUUUGAUGUCUGGAUGAUUUUGAUGUGCUUCACAGAGACAAAUGCUGCUGAAAUGGAUAUCAGAGUGUGUUCAUGAAUUCUCUUGACUAGAUAGAAGAGAAAUAUAAAAGAAUUGUAGCUGCUUCUCUGUCAUCUGAAUAUGCAAAGGACUGAUCUGAUUUUUAUAAUUGAAGGUGUAUUCAAAAAUAAAAAGAAAGUAACCCUAAAAUGUAAUUAUUUUAUGGGUUUCGGAGAAAUACCUUGAAUUUUAAGAGCUUUCAUGUUAGCUGUUUUUACCUGAUGAAACUAAGAUCUAUUUGAAUAGUUUGAAGUGUGACCUAAAUAAUAAACAAAAAUGGAUUAAAAUAUUUUUUUACUUUUAGAUAUGAUACAAAAGGCUCCUUUGUAGGAAAACAUUGCAUAUCUGUCUCACCUAGAUGAUGACAAUCUUCUUUUAAAAUGAAAGAACUGGGAAUAGCUCUAAAAAUAUAUAUAUAUUUAUAUAUACAUGUAUAUGUAUGUACAUAUAUACAUACUAUAUACAGGCAAUCCUCGGGUUACGUCAGACUCAAUGUACGUCGUUUCAUGGUUACGUCGCCAUCUCCCAUUUAUUAAAAAAAAAAGUUCUGUCAUUUCCACAUAUGUACAUGUGUGCUUUAUGUUUUUUAUUAUUUAUUUACCACAAGUAAAGGUCAGGAAUUGUUAAUCUUUUAAAUUUUUUUUACUGUUUCACUUCAUUACUGCUGUGUAUGUGCUCCAUGUGAGUGACGUAGGUGCUUAUAUAGGUGGGUUCCGACUUACGGCGAAAAUUGCGUUAAGUUGUGCCGUAGGAAUGGAUCCAACAUAACCCGAGGACCUACUGUAUGUAUGUGUGUGUGUGUGUGUGUGUGUGUGUGUGUGUAUAUGU